This 383-nucleotide ribosomal RNA is filed under the name uncultured eukaryote. RNAcentral describes it as "partial 18S ribosomal RNA". It matches the Rfam family "Eukaryotic small subunit ribosomal RNA", at positions 592 to 976 of the family's 1831-position model. The record is from RNAcentral.
CAAUAGCGUAUAUUAAAGUUGUUGCAGUUAAAAAGCUCAUAGUUGGAUUUCUGGUAGGAGUGACCGUUCCGAACUUGAUUGUUCGUGUAUUGUGUUUUCUCCAGCCAUCCUUGUGGAGAACUUUUCUUGCAUUAAUUUGUAGGGAUUGGGACCCGCAUCGUUUACUGUGAAAAAAUUAGAGUGUUUAAAGCAGGCAAUCGCUUGAAUACAUUAGCAUGGAAUAAUAGGAUAGGACUUUGGUACUAUUUUGUUGGUUUGCAUACCAAAUUAAUGAUCAACAGGAACAGUUUGAGGAUAUUCGUAUGAACAUGUCAGAGGUGAAAUUCUUGGAUUUUGAUCAGACGAACUACUGCGAAAGCAUUUAUCAAGGAUGUUUUCAUUAA